GACGAACGCUGGCGGCGUGCCUAAUACAUGCAAGUUGAACGCUUCUUUCUUAUCGAACUUCGGUUCACCAAGAAAGAAGAGUAGCGAACGGGUGAGUAACACGUGGGUAACCUACCCAUCAGUGGGGGAUAACACUUGGAAACAGGUGCUAAUACCGCAUAAUACUUUUUCUCUCAUGCGUGAAAGUUGAAAGGCGCUUUUGCGUCACUGAUGGAUGGACCCGCGGUGCAUUAGCUAGUUGGUAGGGUAACGGCCUACCAAGGCAACGUGGCAUAGCCGACCUGAGAGGGUGAUUGGCCACACUGGGACUGAGACACGGCCCAGACUCCUACGGGAGGCAGCAGUAGGGAAUCUUCGGCAAUGGACGAAAGUCUGACCGAGCAACGCCGCGUGAGUGAAGAAGGUUUUCGGAUCGUAAAACUCUGUUGUUAGAGAAGAACAAGGAUGAGAAGAGAAUGUUCAUCCCUUGACGGUAUCUAACCAGAAAGCCACGGCUAACUACGUGCCAGCAGCCGCCGCCG
Molecule: ribosomal RNA, 521 nt
Filed under: uncultured bacterium
Lineage: Bacteria
Description: partial 16S ribosomal RNA
Rfam family: Bacterial small subunit ribosomal RNA
Source: RNAcentral